This 408-nucleotide ribosomal RNA is filed under the name uncultured bacterium. Its description in RNAcentral is "partial 16S ribosomal RNA". It matches the Rfam family "Bacterial small subunit ribosomal RNA", at positions 28 to 526 of the family's 1533-position model. The record is from RNAcentral.
GACGAACGCUGGCGGCGUGCUUAACACAUGCAAGUCGAACGCAGUGGCGAACGGGUGAGUAACGCGUAAUCAACCUGCCCUUCAGCGGGUGACAACAGUUUGAAACGACUGCUCAUACCGCAUACUGAAGGUGUGGCUUGCGUCUGUUUAGCUAGUUGGAGGGGUAACGGCCCACCAAGGCGAUGAUCAGUAGCCGGUCUGAGAGGAGGAACGGGCAAAUAUGGACGGAGACACGGCCCAGAAUCCGACGGGAGGCAGCAGUGGGGAAUCUUCCGCAAUGGACGAAAGGCUGACGGAGCAACGCCGCGGGAGUGAUGACGGGCUUCGGGUUGUAAAGCUCUGUUAAUCGGGACGCGGUACCGGAAUAGAAAGCCACGGCUAACUACGUGCCAGCAGCCGCGGUAAUAC